GAUGAACGCUAGCUACAGGCUUAACACAUGCAAGUCGAGGGGAAACGACAUCGAAAGCUUGCUUUUGAUGGGCGUCGACCGGCGCACGGGUGAGUAACGCGUAUCCAACCUGCCCAUCACUUGGGAAUAACCUUGCGAAAGUAAGACUAAUACCCAAUGAUAACCCACGAAGGCAUCGGAAUGGGAUUAAAGAUUUAUCGGUGAUGGAUGGGGAUGCGUCUGAUUAGCUUGUUGGCGGGGUAACGGCCCACCAAGGCAACGAUCAGUAGGGGUUCUGAGAGGAAGGUCCCCCACAUUGGAACUGAGACACGGUCCAAACUCCUACGGGAGGCAGCAGUGAGGAAUAUUGGUCAAGGGGCGAGAGCCUGAACCAGCCAAGUAGCGUGCAGGAAGACGGCCCUAUGGGUUGUAAACUGCUUUUAUAAGGGAAUAAAGUGGGUCACGUGUGACUUUUUGCAUGUACCUUAUGAAUAAGGACCGGCUAAUUCCGUG
RNAcentral lists this ribosomal RNA (492 nucleotides) under uncultured bacterium. RNAcentral describes it as "partial 16S ribosomal RNA". It matches the Rfam family "Bacterial small subunit ribosomal RNA", at positions 28 to 507 of the family's 1533-position model. The record is from RNAcentral.